GCGUUACAAACUUGGUAUCAGAGCUUAAGCUUUUAAGGUAUCCUAGGGAGUCUGACAAGCGGCGUUAAGUAGAGUCUUGAUCAUCGGUGUGUAGCGCGCCACAUCUAUGACCAAGAGGUUACAAGACGUUUUAGGAAAAAGUGUGAUUUCUUCUUUCAGAAGUCUAUCAUGCUUAAAGUGUCUCUCUCUGCUAUUGAUUCAUGCUCUCCUC
This 211-nucleotide long non-coding RNA is filed under the name Capsicum annuum. RNAcentral's name for it is "long non-coding RNA (CANN_LNC008759)". Lineage: Eukaryota; Viridiplantae; Streptophyta; Magnoliopsida; Solanales; Solanaceae. The record is from RNAcentral.